This 642-nucleotide ribosomal RNA is filed under the name Mawia benovici. RNAcentral's name for it is "partial 28S ribosomal RNA". It matches the Rfam family "Eukaryotic large subunit ribosomal RNA", at positions 365 to 816 of the family's 3401-position model. The record is from RNAcentral. Lineage: Eukaryota; Metazoa; Cnidaria; Scyphozoa; Semaeostomeae; Pelagiidae.
UGAAAAGAACUUUGAAAAGAGAGUUAAAAAGUGCGUGAAACCGUUAGAGGGGAAACGGAUGCAGUUAGCAAUGCCUCAGCGAGAUUCAGGUGGACGCCUGGUCAGACGUGUAGUGUAUGGAUCCGCAUGGACUGUCGCUGUUCGGCCUGACCUUGUGAUCAUCGCACUUCUCGUUGGGGCGCGUCAACAGCUGCUCUGUCUGAGUGACAAGGCGUCCAGGAAGGUAGGCGCGUGCUUCGGCAUGUGCUGUUAUAGCCUGUGGCGAUACUAGCUCGGACGGGGCAGAGGCGAGCGGUGCAUGCUCUUCUUCGGAGGGGCUGGCGACCUUCUCUUGAUCUUGUGUCGACCAUGGCGGACUGCUUGCAGUGCGUCUGAACUGCUCGAGGUCAUUCGGGAGGCCAACGCACACUAUGCACCUCGGUUGUUGGCGGCCAUAUGGCUUCAUCUGACCCGUCUUGAAACACGGACCAAGGAGUCUAACAUGUGCGCAAGUCUUGGGGUGACUGAAACCCGAAGGCACAAUGAAAGUAAAGGCUGCCUAGCAGCUGAGGUGAGAUCUUCGUUCUACGCGUGCGAGGCGCAUCAUCGACCGACCUAUUCUACUCUUAGAAAGGUUUGAGUAAGAGCGGAUCUGUUGGGACC